Molecule: ribosomal RNA, 1389 nt
Filed under: Streptomyces phaeofaciens JCM 4814
Lineage: Bacteria; Bacillati; Actinomycetota; Actinomycetes; Kitasatosporales; Streptomycetaceae
Description: bacterial LSU rRNA
Rfam family: Bacterial large subunit ribosomal RNA
Source: RNAcentral
UGAGACCUGAUGCCGAGCCGAUUGUGGUGAAGUGGAUGAUCCUAUGCUGUCGAGAAAAAGCCUCUAGCGAGUUUCAUGGCGGCCCGUACCCUAAACCGACUCAGGUGGUCAGGUAGAGAAUACCGAGGCGUUCGGGUGAACUAUGGUUAAGGAACUCGGCAAAAUGCCCCCGUAACUUCGGGAGAAGGGGGGCCACGUCCGGUGAUUGGAUUUACUCCAUGAGCUGGGGGUGGCCGCAGAGACCAGCGAGAAGCGACUGUUUACUAAAAACACAGGUCCGUGCGAAGCCGUAAGGCGAUGUAUACGGACUGACGCCUGCCCGGUGCUGGAACGUUAAGGGGACCGGUUAGUCACUCUUCGGGGUGGCGAAGCUGAGAACUUAAGCGCCAGUAAACGGCGGUGGUAACUAUAACCAUCCUAAGGUAGCGAAAUUCCUUGUCGGGUAAGUUCCGACCUGCACGAAUGGCGUAACGACUUCUCGACUGUCUCAACCAUAGGCCCGGUGAAAUUGCACUACGAGUAAAGAUGCUCGUUUCGCGCAGCAGGACGGAAAGACCCCGGGACCUUUACUACAGUUUGAUAUUGGUGUUCGGUUCGGCUUGUGUAGGAUAGGUGGGAGACUGUGAAGCAGGGACGCCAGUUCUUGUGGAGUCGUCGUUGAAAUACCACUCUGGUCGUGCUGGAUGUCUAACCUGGUCCGUGAUCCGGAUCAGGGACAGUGUCUGAUGGGUAGUUUAACUGGGGCGGUUGCCUCCUAAAGAGUAACGGAGGCGCCCAAAGGUUCCCUCAGCCUGGUUGGCAAUCAGGUGUUGAGUGUAAGUGCACAAGGGAGCUUGACUGUGAGACCGACGGGUCGAGCAGGGACGAAAGUCGGGACUAGUGAUCCGGCGGUGGCUUGUGGAAGCGCCGUCGCUCAACGGAUAAAAGGUACCCCGGGGAUAACAGGCUGAUCUUCCCCAAGAGUCCAUAUCGACGGGAUGGUUUGGCACCUCGAUGUCGGCUCGUCGCAUCCUGGGGCUGGAGUCGGUCCCAAGGGUUGGGCUGUUCGCCCAUUAAAGCGGUACGCGAGCUGGGUUUAGAACGUCGUGAGACAGUUCGGUCCCUAUCCGCUGCGCGCGCAGGAAUAUUGAGAAGGGCUGUCCCUAGUACGAGAGGACCGGGACGGACGAACCUCUGGUGUGCCAGUUGUUCUGCCAAGGGCAUGGCUGGUUGGCUACGUUCGGGAGGGAUAACCGCUGAAAGCAUCUAAGCGGGAAGCCUGCUUCGAGAUGAGUAUUCCCACCCCCUUGAGGGGUUAAGGCUCCCAGUAGACGACUGGGUUGAUAGGCCGGAUCUGGAAGCCAGUAAUGGGUGGAGGUGACCGGUACUAAUAGGCCGAGGGCUUGUCCU